This 2370-nucleotide ribosomal RNA is filed under the name Escherichia coli. RNAcentral's name for it is "partial 23S ribosomal RNA". It matches the Rfam family "Bacterial large subunit ribosomal RNA", at positions 588 to 2925 of the family's 2925-position model. The record is from RNAcentral. Lineage: Bacteria; Pseudomonadati; Pseudomonadota; Gammaproteobacteria; Enterobacterales; Enterobacteriaceae.
AUGGGGUGACUGCGUACCUUUUGUAUAAUGGGUCAGCGACUUAUAUUCUGUAGCAAGGUUAACCGAAUAGGGGAGCCGAAGGGAAACCGAGUCUUAACUGGGCGUUAAGUUGCAGGGUAUAGACCCGAAACCCGGUGAUCUAGCCAUGGGCAGGUUGAAGGUUGGGUAACACUAACUGGAGGACCGAACCGACUAAUGUUGAAAAAUUAGCGGAUGACUUGUGGCUGGGGGUGAAAGGCCAAUCAAACCGGGAGAUAGCUGGUUCUCCCCGAAAGCUAUUUAGGUAGCGCCUCGUGAAUUCAUCUCCGGGGGUAGAGCACUGUUUCGGCAAGGGGGUCAUCCCGACUUACCAACCCGAUGCAAACUGCGAAUACCGGAGAAUGUUAUCACGGGAGACACACGGCGGGUGCUAACGUCCGUCGUGAAGAGGGAAACAACCCAGACCGCCAGCUAAGGUCCCAAAGUCAUGGUUAAGUGGGAAACGAUGUGGGAAGGCCCAGACAGCCAGGAUGUUGGCUUAGAAGCAGCCAUCAUUUAAAGAAAGCGUAAUAGCUCACUGGUCGAGUCGGCCUGCGCGGAAGAUGUAACGGGGCUAAACCAUGCACCGAAGCUGCGGCAGCGACACUAUGUGUUGUUGGGUAGGGGAGCGUUCUGUAAGCCUGUGAAGGUGUACUGUGAGGUAUGCUGGAGGUAUCAGAAGUGCGAAUGCUGACAUAAGUAACGAUAAAGCGGGUGAAAAGCCCGCUCGCCGGAAGACCAAGGGUUCCUGUCCAACGUUAAUCGGGGCAGGGUGAGUCGACCCCUAAGGCGAGGCCGAAAGGCGUAGUCGAUGGGAAACAGGUUAAUAUUCCUGUACUUGGUGUUACUGCGAAGGGGGGACGGAGAAGGCUAUGUUGGCCGGGCGACGGUUGUCCCGGUUUAAGCGUGUAGGCUGGUUUUCCAGGCAAAUCCGGAAAAUCAAGGCUGAGGCGUGAUGACGAGGCACUACGGUGCUGAAGCAACAAAUGCCCUGCUUCCAGGAAAAGCCUCUAAGCAUCAGGUAACAUCAAAUCGUACCCCAAACCGACACAGGUGGUCAGGUAGAGAAUACCAAGGCGCUUGAGAGAACUCGGGUGAAGGAACUAGGCAAAAUGGUGCCGUAACUUCGGGAGAAGGCACGCUGAUAUGUAGGUGAAGUCCCUCGCGGAUGGAGCUGAAAUCAGUCGAAGAUACCAGCUGGCUGCAACUGUUUAUUAAAAACACAGCACUGUGCAAACACGAAAGUGGACGUAUACGGUGUGACGCCUGCCCGGUGCCGGAAGGUUAAUUGAUGGGGUUAGCGGUAACGCGAAGCUCUUGAUCGAAGCCCCGGUAAACGGCGGCCGUAACUAUAACGGUCCUAAGGUAGCGAAAUUCCUUGUCGGGUAAGUUCCGACCUGCACGAAUGGCGUAAUGAUGGCCAGGCUGUCUCCACCCGAGACUCAGUGAAAUUGAACUCGCUGUGAAGAUGCAGUGUACCCGCGGCAAGACGGAAAGACCCCGUGAACCUUUACUAUAGCUUGACACUGAACAUUGAGCCUUGAUGUGUAGGAUAGGUGGGAGGCUUUGAAGUGUGGACGCCAGUCUGCAUGGAGCCGGCCUUGAAAUACCACCCUUUAAUGUUUGAUGUUCUAACGUUGGCCCCUGAUCGGGGUUGCGGACAGUGUCUGGUGGGUAGUUUGACUGGGGCGGUCUCCUCCUAAAGAGUAACGGAGGAGCACGAAGGUUGGCUAAUCCUGGUCGGACAUCAGGAGGUUAGUGCAAUGGCAUAAGCCAGCUUGACUGCGAGCGUGACGGCGCGAGCAGGUGCGAAAGCAGGUCAUAGUGAUCCGGUGGUUCUGAAUGGAAGGGCCAUCGCUCAACGGAUAAAAGGUACUCCGGGGAUAACAGGCUGAUACCGCCCAAGAGUUCAUAUCGACGGCGGUGUUUGGCACCUCGAUGUCGGCUCAUCACAUCCUGGGGCUGAAGUAGGUCCCAAGGGUAUGGCUGUUCGCCAUUUAAAGUGGUACGCGAGCUGGGUUUAGAACGUCGUGAGACAGUUCGGUCCCUAUCUGCCGUGGGCGCUGGAGAACUGAGGGGGGCUGCUCCUAGUACGAGAGGACCGGAGUGGACGCAUCACUGGUGUUCGGGUUGUCAUGCCAAUGGCACUGCCCGGUAGCUAAAUGCGGAAGAGAUAAGUGCUGAAAGCAUCUAAGCACGAAACUUGCCCCGAGAUGAGUUCUCCCUGACUCCUUGAGAGUCCUGAAGGAACGUUGAAGACGACGACGUUGAUAGGCCGGGUGUGUAAGCGCAGCGAUGCGUUGAGCUAACCGGUACUAAUGAACCGUGAGGCUUAACCUUACAACGCCGAAG